UGCCAAUUUGUGAGCUGAGAGGUUCAGAUACGGUGGCAACUGAGAAGGAUUCACCUACAACCUUGAGAAUUUGAAAAUGGGCAAUCUGAACUGCUGCUCUGGAGGAUACUUGGCCCAAAAGGCCAGAAGAAACGUCCAUCAGGGGUCAAGACCAUCAAACUCCAGCUGGGUGAAGAGGGUUCGUAGUUGGUCACAAAAUAAGAUGCACCCCAUAACUGACCCAGUUGAAGUUUCCCAGGAGGACCUGGUGGAGGAGCCCCCCCAAGGCCGGAAUGAGGAACAGAAACUGAGUACCCUGAAGGUGCAUGGAACGGCCAAAGAGAUUGCUUCACAUACAAAUAUCUACAUCCCUCUGCUCAGAUAUGUUCAAAAUGAUGAAGGAUGCUUCACCCCGAAAGCCAGAAAAACCAUCGCUUAGCGGUUCAAGAGCAUCGGUCUCCAGCUGGGUGAAGAGGGUUCGUUGUUGGUCACGAAAUAAGGUGCACCUUAUAACUGACCCAGUUAGAGGUACUCCGGAAAUUUUCUUAUUAAAUUCACUCAUGAAUAAUUAUUGUAGUAUGUGCAGUUCCUCAUAUUUAAGAAAAAAACUGUGAAAUAUUAAGCAAUGUUCCUCUUUUAUUAUAUGUGUUCAAAUGGCAACUUACUACAUCAGUUCGUACUGUUUUAACUAUGGAAAGAAAGAUGCAUUUUAAAUUCAACAUCUGGUUCGUGUUUAAGAGUGAAGAUGGUCUCUAGCUAUGGUUUGGACAUUAGCUAACUUUUUAACAUUAGCUGUCAUAUGUUCCUCCCUGAAGCCAUGUUUCAAGAUUUCUUCAAAUUAUUAGACUUUAUUUAGAACAGGAUUACAUUGACAUAAAAGUUUUAAAAAUAGUACAGAAAAUUCUUAUAUCCUAUCAUUUCAGUUUCAGCAAUCAUAUGUUACUCAGAGAUAGCAUAUGUGUGGAAG
This 946-nucleotide long non-coding RNA is filed under the name Capra hircus (goat). RNAcentral's name for it is "lncRNA (ENSCHIG00000000829.1)". The record is from RNAcentral. Lineage: Eukaryota; Metazoa; Chordata; Mammalia; Artiodactyla; Bovidae.